RNAcentral lists this long non-coding RNA (231 nucleotides) under Elaeis guineensis (African oil palm). RNAcentral describes it as "long non-coding RNA (EGUI_LNC077268)". Lineage: Eukaryota; Viridiplantae; Streptophyta; Magnoliopsida; Arecales; Arecaceae. The record is from RNAcentral.
GAAUAUUCACAAAAUCAGGCUGCAAGUGAUCCAUUGGAUCUGCAAUAACAAAAUCCAUAAACCUAGCUUUAUUAGCCAGGUAAUCAAUUCUAAGGUUGACUUUAAUCAAAUAGUUGGAAAGCAUAAGAAAAAAGAGGAGAAGAGGAAGUGAGGAAGAAGGACAAAAUAUUGUAUCAAUAAAAGUGGUAUAUGAUGGCUUAAGAUUGGAUUUGAUUUUGUUAUAGAAGAAGC